RNAcentral lists this ribosomal RNA (253 nucleotides) under uncultured bacterium. RNAcentral describes it as "partial 16S ribosomal RNA". It matches the Rfam family "Bacterial small subunit ribosomal RNA", at positions 524 to 776 of the family's 1533-position model. The record is from RNAcentral.
UACGUAGGCAGCGAGCGUUGUUCGGAGUUACUGGGCGUAAAGAGUGCGUAGGCGGUUUUCUAAGUCGAACGUGAAAUCCCCGGGCUCAACCCGGGAACUGCGUCCGAUACUGGAAGGCUUGAAUCCGGGAGAGGGAUGCGGAAUUCCAGGUGUAGCGGUGAAAUGCGUAGAUAUCUGGAGGAACACCGGUGGCGAAGGCGGCGUUCUGGACUGCAACUGACACUGAAGAACGAAAGCCAGGGGAGCAAACGGG